Molecule: long non-coding RNA, 3636 nt
Filed under: Homo sapiens (human)
Lineage: Eukaryota; Metazoa; Chordata; Mammalia; Primates; Hominidae
Source: RNAcentral
CUCUUCCAGCUCCUCUUCCUGGUGUUUCUGGAACAGGCCUCGAGGGUCGUCGCCCACAGUACGGCCUAGAAGGCCAGAGGAGGGCUUGGCCAGUGACUUUUGGUGAGCGCCUCUUCUCGCCCCUGCCAGGAGAGCCUCAUCACUCCGUCCUUCUGUGUGACCCCUGCCUCUUCAGCAUCACGCCCCUCCCCCAGGCUCCAGCCACUUUGUGCCAGCUGCAGCCACAGCCCCUUCGACACUCCCAAAGAGCCCUGCGCUCCAGGUUCCAGCACCCCCAUCCUGCGCCCUCUUCUCCACACGCGCAUCCCCCCAGCUUCUCUCGCACCCCAGAGGCCUCCUGACACCCCCAGCCCCGCGCUUACUGGUGCCUUCAGGCAGGCUCAGGACGCCGUCGACCUCCACCCAGCGGUAACAAGGGAACCUGACCUCGUCCCCGGCUCCGGGGCCCUACACGGAGAUCCAGCUGCAGAACCUGAAGGAAGUGACGUUUGCGCAGUUUCACAAACAUCAGCGGCCCCAGGUACUCCGGUACUUCCACCUUGAGUUCUGUCUCCUGCGGGCGACAGAAGAGGCUCAGCCCCGGUGGGGCCUGGCGGGAGGGGCACCCGGCUGAGCCCUGCUCCCUCCAGCGCCCACGCCCUUCCUCGGAGCCUCUGAGAGGAGGAGACGUAUCGGGGUGGGGGGACUGAGCCAGAGAGAGAGGGACCGCGCCGAGCAGGUGGCCCCAGGACUCGGUUCUGAGGGGACGGGGACGGCAGGUGGGAAGGUGCGCUCCUGCCUUCACUUUCUCCUCCCUGUGGUCACUGACUGUGCCAAGCGCUGGGCUGAGCGCUGCCGCGCCCUGGACGAGCGCGCUGUGGAGCCCGGACGCGCUGGUGGCAAUUCCCGCUGUGCGACCCCUCCACCCCACCCCGCCCGAGGCUGAGGACCUGCAGGGGCCCCACCGGCCUGGGGACAACCUUCCCGGAGACCUGGAGGCGGAGAGGGCUCAGCCAGGGAGAGUGACAGAAAGGGAAGGCAGGGGAAAGGCGCGCAGAAAGAGAGCGGCGGGGAAGGGAGGGCGAGCAGCAUCUUGGAUCUGGAGCUCAGAGCCCAGGUGUGGGGGGUCAGCAGGUCCGGAGGCUCUCGAAGGUGGCGCCAGGGGCUUUGGAUUUGGUCCCGAGAACAAGCGGGAGCCGUUCGAAUGUGUUAAGCAGGGGGAGUGAAUUAGGGAGAAAUCAUUCCGGCUUCAGAAGGGCUUGGAAGGUCUGCAGCAGAGGUGGCGAGGCCGCUGGAGGUUUGAAAUGGCUUUUAAAAUAGAGAAACCGGGAGGACCGACGACCGCUCCGGCGACCGCAGUUUCCAGGCACCAGAGCUGUGUGGAAUGAGGGGCGCUCAGGAGCAUCCCCUUAAUUCCAAGGAGAUCGAGUAGCGGAAACAUUUAUUGAGCGUUUACUGUGUGUCACCAACUGCCCACCAUAGGGAGGAAAAAAGGGAGGAGGGAGCGCGCCUUUCCACCUUCCGUGCCCCGUCCCCUCACCAUGGAGUCGCGGGGCCACCUGCUCCGUGCGCAUUUUCUCUCUUUCUGGCUCCCUUUGCCCCGCUUUCUCGGAAGCUCGGAGCAAGGGCGUGGAGUGCGGGGAGCAGGGCUCCGCAGGUUCAAGAGGACGCGGGCGAUCGGGGGCGGGACGGAUAUUGGGCAGGGACGCGGGAGAUGCUCAGGGUCUAGAACUGACUGCGCCGGAUUCUUGUUUAGAGGGAGGUGAAGAGAGGAAGGAGGCGCGGGUGACACCGGGGGAGGCAGGAGGAGAGGGCUGGGAGGUGGGGAGAGGGGAGGACCUCAUCCGGGCAUGUUGCUUUGACGUUCCCUGAGACAGACAUCCGGAUUUGGCGAUCUGGGAGAGAGCUAGAGCAGUGAUGGGAAUUUGGGCUUUCGCGGAAGAAAAAAAGUAACAGGACCGGGUAGAACACCCGGUAGAUAUGACAUGAGAUAUGACGGGAGGUGGGUCGGGAAAUCGAGAGCGUUCUCCUGUCUUGACUCCCCAUCCCUUCCCUCUCACCACCCACUCCACCCCAGGUGAUAAAGCCUGAAAGGUAGAGAUCCAACAGCGCUAGCGGUUGAAACGUUUUUUAAAAUAGAGAAAGCGAGAGGACCGACGGCGGCUCCGGUGACUGCUGAGUUUCCAGACAAGGGAGCUCUGUGCAAUGAGGGGCGCACAGGAGCAUGCCCUCAAUUCCAAGAAGAUCAGGUAGCCGGAAAAUUUAUUAAGCGCUUACUGUGUGCCACCUGCGUGUUUUCUGUCCAAAUCAGAAAAGGAUUUGGACAGAAAACACGCAGGAAGAAGGAAUCAACCCCUGGUACAGCAGGCAGGCGAGGUAGGGGUAGGAGUUAUGCACGUGUAUGCAAGCCUGGAUGGCUGGGAAGCCAACCUCCAUCUAAAGGCAAGCGCGGACAUGCACACACACACACACGCCUCACAAGUUGGAUUGCAAGAGAGGGUGAAGUGGGCGAGGAGACCCAGUCAGCCGUGGCAUUUGAGGAAGGUACAUUUAGGCCACCGAAUUCAUUCCACCAACUUUGCACACUUGUCUUCCUUGUGCCAGGCUCUGGGACUCAUUCCUUUUGAGGGUAAAAGUCUGCCUCCCUGGACUCCUGCCCCUCAGGCGCUCCCACAGCCCGGCACCGCCCCCUCGCCAUUCCGGAGCCAGCGCGGGCUAAGCGGGCCUGGCCGGGGAUGAGCGGAGCCACCGUCCCCAUAUUCCUCGGUGCCCCGGGACCGCAAGAGGGAGCCGUGGUUUCCGGAACUCCUCCCGCCCCUCCGGGCUUUUCCUCUGUUAGGCAGGUGGCGAUUCGCUGUCUUUGCCUGUUAUGGCCGCUGCCGUCGCCCUGGAGACAGGUAACCCUCUUCCAUGACUGUUCCUUAAAGUGGUGCGCUGUCCCAGUAGACCAUGCUCUAGCUUUCCAAGCUGCUAGAACUGUCAGUGUUUCUCAGCCUUGGCACUAUUGACAUUUUGGGACCAGUGAUUCUUCAUCGUUGGCAGAGGGGAGGGUGUUGACCUGUGCACUGUAGGAUGUCAGGUGGCAUCCCCGGACUCUACCCGCUAGGUGCCAGUAGCACCUAAUGUGCCACCCACCCCCUCCCAACAACUUUUCAACCAAACUAAAAUGUCUCUAGAGGUUGCCAUAUAUCCUCUGGGGGACAAAAUCACACUUAGUUGAGAACCACUGUCCCACAUUCUACACACAGAAGCCAAAAGGAUAUUUUUUAAAUGUAAAUGGCAUCAUGUCGUUCCCCUGUUGGAAACCCUUCAAUGUUUUCCUGUUGACCUUAGAAUAAUCUCAAAUUCCUUACUGUGGCUUAGAAGACCUUCUGUGGACUGGCCCCUGCUUGCUUUUAACUCCUCUCUUCCGUUCUGCUUCCAUGUCUAUAUAAUUGCUUCUCUCUCACUCCAGCCACACUGGCCUUCUUUCUGUUCCUUGAACAUUCAAAGCUGGUUCCCAUCCACCCUUUGUAUUUGCUGUUCUUCUGCCUAGAAUGCACCUGUUCCAGAUCACUGUUCAUUCACACAUAUCUCAGAUUACAUGUUAACUAAUCAGCAAGGCCUUCCCUGACCAUUUUAUCAAAAGAAGCCACUUACUUCCAUUCUCUAUCACAU